This 207-nucleotide ribosomal RNA is filed under the name uncultured bacterium. RNAcentral describes it as "partial 16S ribosomal RNA". It matches the Rfam family "Bacterial small subunit ribosomal RNA", at positions 568 to 774 of the family's 1533-position model. The record is from RNAcentral.
UGUGUAGGCGGUGUUCUAAGUCUGUUGUGAAAUCUCCCGGCUUAACUGGGAGGGUGCGGCGGAGACUGGAAUGCUAGAGUGUGGGAGAGGUAAGCGGAAUUCCUGGUGUAGCGGUGAAAUGCGUAGAUAUCAGGAGGAACACCUGUGGUGUAGACAGCUUACUGGACCACGACUGACGCUGAGACACGAAAGCGUGGGUAGCAAACA